This 861-nucleotide ribosomal RNA is filed under the name uncultured bacterium. Its description in RNAcentral is "bacterial SSU rRNA". It matches the Rfam family "Bacterial small subunit ribosomal RNA", at positions 130 to 1026 of the family's 1533-position model. The record is from RNAcentral.
CUUUAGGAGGGGGACAACAACUGGAAACGGUUGCUAAUACCCCAUAUGCUUUCGAGUGAAAUGGUUUUUCCGCCUAAAGAGAAGCUUGCGGCUGAUUAGCUUGUUGGUAAGGUAACGGCUUACCAAGGCGACGAUCAGUAUCUGGUUUGAGAGGACGAUCAGACACACUGGAACUGAGACACGGUCCAGACUCCUACGGGAGGCAGCAGUGGGGAAUUUUCCGCAAUGGGCGAAAGUGACGGAGCAAUACCGCGUGAGGGAUGACGGCCUAUGGGUUGUAAACCUCUUUUUUCAGGGAGGAAUCAAUGACGUGUACCUGAAGAAUAAGCAUCGGCUAACUCCGUGCCAGCAGCCGCGGUAAGACGGAGGAUGCAAGUGUUAUCCGGAAUCACUGGGCGUAAAGCGUCUGUAGGUGGCUCAACAAGUCAACUGUUAAAUCUUGAGGCUCAACCUCAAAAUCGCAGUCGAAACUAUUAGGCUAGAGUAUAGUAGGGGUAAAGGGAAUUUCCAGUGGAGCGGUGAAAUGCGUAGAGAUUGGAAAGAACACCGAUGGCGAAGCACUUUACUGGGCUAUUACUAACACUCAGAGACGAAAGCUAGGGUAGCAAAUGGGAUUAGAUACCCCAGUAGUCCUAGCUGUAAACAAUGGAUACUAGAUGUUGAACAGAUCGACCUGUGCAGUAUCAAAGCUAACGCGUUAAGUAUCCCGCCUGGGAAGUAUGCGCGCAAGUGAAACUCAAAGGAAUUGACGGGGGCCCGCACAAGCGUGGAGCAUGUGGUUUAAUUCGAUGCAACGCGAAGAACCUUACCAGGGUUUGACAUGAUACGAAUUUCUUUGAAAGAAGAAAGUGCCGUUUGGAA